AGCAGCAGGAGGAGGCAGAGAGCACAGCAUCGUCGGGACCAGACUCGUCUCAGGCCAGUUGCAGCCUUCUCAGCCAAACGCCGACCAAGGAAAACUCACUACCAUGAGAAUUGCAGUGAUUUGCUUUUGCCUCCUAGGCAUCACCUGUGCCCUACCAGUUAAACAGGCUGAUUCUGGAAGUUCUGAGGAAAAGCAGCACUAAAGAUGUACCUACCCCUCCACAACAGAUGAAACUGUGCCAGCCAAACAACAAAUGGGCAUUGUCCCCAGAAGCUUGGACAAAAAGGCACACAGAGUUCAAUUCCAGUUGAACAGAAUAAAGGCCAAAAUAGAGCUGCCUUGGGGGUCACUGCAAUUAGACUGCUUAAUGAAGACAUUAAAAGAAGUAUUCUGUCUUUACAACAAAUACCCAGAUGCUGUGGCCACAUGGCUAAACCCUGACCCAUCUCAGAAGCAGAAUCUCCUAGCCCCACAGAAUGCUGUGUCCUCUGAAGAAACCAAUGACUUUAAACAAGAGACCCUUCCAAGUAAGUCCAAUGAAAGCCAUGACCACAUGGAUGAUGUGGAUGAUGAAGAUGAUGAUGACCAUGUGGACAGCCAGGACUCCAUUGACUCGAACGACUCUGAUGAUGUAGAUGACACUGAUGAUUCUCACCAGUCUGAUGAGUCUCACCAUUCUGAUGAAUCUGAUGAACUGGUCACUGAUUUUCCCACGGACCUG
This 721-nucleotide small RNA is filed under the name Pan troglodytes (chimpanzee). RNAcentral's name for it is "processed transcript". Lineage: Eukaryota; Metazoa; Chordata; Mammalia; Primates; Hominidae. The record is from RNAcentral.